RNAcentral lists this ribosomal RNA (259 nucleotides) under uncultured bacterium. RNAcentral's name for it is "partial 16S ribosomal RNA". It matches the Rfam family "Bacterial small subunit ribosomal RNA", at positions 524 to 776 of the family's 1533-position model. The record is from RNAcentral.
GACGUAGGGCGCAAGCGUGUCCGGAAUUAUUGGGCGUAAAGCGCGUGUAGGCGGCUUGGCAAGUCGGGUGUGAAAGCCCUCAGCUCAACUGAGGAAGUGCGCCCGAAACUGCUUUGCUUGAGUGCUGGAGAGGGUCGCGGAAUUCCCCAAGUAGAGGUGAAAUUCGUAGAUAUGGGGAGGAACACCGGUGGCGAAGGCAGGCGACCUGGACGCGAGCUGAACUGACGCUGGAGACGCGAAAGCGUGGGUAGCAAACAGG